UUGAAUUUGAUUGCAUCGUCUCUUUG
Molecule: small RNA, 26 nt
Filed under: Bombyx mori (domestic silkworm)
Lineage: Eukaryota; Metazoa; Arthropoda; Insecta; Lepidoptera; Bombycidae
Description: ovarian small RNA-37661
Source: RNAcentral